Molecule: small RNA, 207 nt
Filed under: Arabidopsis thaliana (thale cress)
Lineage: Eukaryota; Viridiplantae; Streptophyta; Magnoliopsida; Brassicales; Brassicaceae
Description: ATSL274970
Source: RNAcentral
AUCAUAACCAAACAUAUCAAUUUUGAAAUUUACAAACUAAACAUUCAAAAAACCUAAUCUAUAUCAUCAUUUCCAUGUACUUUCAUUGUCAUGAUUGAUAUUUUCAAACAAGUUCUAAAAUAAGUUACGAAACAGAUAAUUCGCCGUGGGUCCCACCCUCUAUGUAGGGAUACCCCAUCUAGUCUUAACGAGCUUUGAAGCGUGAAA